CAGCCGCCACGGGAAUACGUAGGGUGCGAGCGUUAAUCGGAAUUACUGGGCGUAAAGCGUGCGCAGGCGGUUUUGUAAGACAGGCGUGAAAUCCCCGGGCUCAACCUGGGAAUGGCGCUUGUGACUGCAAAGCUAGAGUGCGGCAGAGGGGGAUGGAAUUCCGCGUGUAGCAGUGAAAUGCGUAGAUAUGCGGAGGAACACCGAUGGCGAAGGCAAUCCCCUGGGCCUGCACUGACGCUCAUGCACGAAAGCGUGGGGAGCAAACAGGAUUAGAUACCCCCGUAGUCCCUGUCUCUUAUAA
RNAcentral lists this ribosomal RNA (301 nucleotides) under uncultured bacterium. Its description in RNAcentral is "partial 16S ribosomal RNA". It matches the Rfam family "Bacterial small subunit ribosomal RNA", at positions 509 to 809 of the family's 1533-position model. The record is from RNAcentral.